This 363-nucleotide transfer-messenger RNA is filed under the name Salmonella enterica. It matches the Rfam family "transfer-messenger RNA". Rfam says of the family: Bacterial tmRNA, also known as 10Sa RNA or SsrA, is named for its dual tRNA and mRNA-like properties. The record is from RNAcentral. Lineage: Bacteria; Pseudomonadati; Pseudomonadota; Gammaproteobacteria; Enterobacterales; Enterobacteriaceae. RNAcentral also lists the same sequence under 1 other name.
GGGGCUGAUUCUGGAUUCGACGGGAUUUGCGAAACCCAAGGUGCAUGCCGAGGGGCGGUUGGCCUCGUAAAAAGCCGCAAAAAAAUAGUCGCAAACGACGAAAACUACGCUUUAGCAGCUUAAUAACCUGCUUAGAGCCCUCUCUCCCUAGCCUCCGCUCUUAGGACGGGGAUCAAGAGAGGUCAAACCCAAAAGAGAUCGCGUGGAUGCCCUGCCUGGGGUUGAAGCGUUAAAACAAAUCAGGCUAGUCUGGUAGUGGCGUGUCCGUCCGCAGGUGCCAGGCGAAUGUAAAGACUGACUAAGCAUGUAGUACCGAGGAUGUAGGAAUUUCGGACGCGGGUUCAACUCCCGCCAGCUCCACCA